This 2242-nucleotide unclassified non-coding RNA is filed under the name Helianthus radula. RNAcentral describes it as "partial external transcribed spacer". Lineage: Eukaryota; Viridiplantae; Streptophyta; Magnoliopsida; Asterales; Asteraceae. The record is from RNAcentral.
CUUUUUGUGCAUAAUGUAUAUAUAGGGGGGUGGUAGUACUCUUGGGGUAGACAGGCAUGUGCUGGGAUGGCAUGCCAAGGCAUGUGCUGGGAUGGCAUGCCAAGGACAAGCAUGUGCUAGGAAGGCAUGCCAAGGCCAAGCCAAGGCCAAGGCAAGCACAUGCAUUGUGAGCGAGACGAGACGGUUACGAAUACCCCAAGAGUGCCCAAGGGAGAGGAAAGAGGUGUCAAACGCAUGCUGAGCCCCACUUCGGUAGUUUGGCACCUGUACCAUAGGCAUUCAGGCAAGCGUGCCUAUGGGAAAAGUCGCUUGAGCUUGUCAGCCAUGUUGGGAAUCGGCUGGACGAGAUGAUUGCACAAGGAUGCUUGCUUUAAGGUAACGUUCCGGCAGCACAGCCAGCCCGCAAUUGCUAGUUCAAGCGGGUGGAAUCUGCCUAUAGGGGCGUUGCUUGCUUGCUGUGGAGUUGGGACACGCCCAAUAUCUAUCAUCGACCGCUUUUGUUCCUGCAUGGCCCCAUAGGUAUUUAGGCAAGCGUGCCUAUGGGAAAAGUCCCUCGAGCUUGCCAACACCCAUAGGCAUUCAGGCAAGCGUGCCUAUGGGAAAAGUCGCUUGAGCUUGUCAGCCAUGUUGGGAAUCGGCUGGACGAGAUGAUUGCACAAGGAUGCUUGCUUUAAGGUAACGUUCCGGCAGCACAGCCAGCCCGCAAUUGCUAGUUCAAGCGGGUGGAAUCUGCCUAUAGGGGCGUUGCUUGCUUGCUGUGGAGUUGGGACACGCCUAAUAUCUAUCAUCGACCGCUUUUGUUCCUGCAUGGCCCCAUAGGUAUUUAGGCAAGCGUGCCUAUGGGAAAAGUCCCUCGAGCUUGCCAACACCCAUAGGCAUUCAGGCAAGCGUGCCUAUGGGAAAAGUCGCUUGAGCUUGUCAGCCAUGUUGGGAAUCGGCUGGACGAGAUGAUUGCACAAGGAUGCUAGCUUUAAGGUAACGUUCCGGCAGCACAGCCAGCCCGCAAUUGCUAGUUCAAGCGGGUGGAAUCUGCCUAUAGGGGCGUUGCUUGCUUGCUGUGGAGUUGGGACACGCCCAAUAUCUAUCAUCGACCGCUUUUGUUCCUGCAUGGCCCCAUAGGUAUUUAGGCAAGCGUGCCUAUGGGUAAAGUCCCUCGAGCUUGCCACCACCCAUGGCAUUCAGGCAAGCGUGUCUAUGGGAAAAGUCGCUUGAGCUUGUCAACCAUGUUGGGUAUCGGCUGGACGAGAUGAUAGCACAAGGAUGCUUGCUUUAAGGUAACGUUCUGGCAGCACAGCCAGCCCGCAAUUGCUAGUUCAAGCGGGUGGAAUCUGCCUAUAGGGGUGUUGCUUGCUUGCUGUGGAUWKGGGACAUGCCSAAUAUCUAUCAUUGACCUAAUGAAGUGUUCAACAUGGGUUGCUGAGGGCUAUUUUGGCACUGAUGAUUCACUUGUUUGCAUGGCUUUGAUAAACGUUUAGAUGUCAUGAUGCUUGGGAUCCAAUAAAUUUAUGUGGGAAGUUGAGAGCUGGAACCCAAUGGCAUUCACCAGACGGCUUAGCUUCGUCAGUGUGUAUAAUAUGUCAUUGAACCCCAAUCCUUGAUGCCAACCUGAUUAUGACCUUUGGAUCGUAAUUAUCAUGGGUAUCGAAAACUGAGUAGGAGUCAUUGAAUAAGUGAGAACAAUUUGUAGCCUUUGUAGCUGUCAGCUUUCGCAUCGCCCGGUGUGUUUUGGGAAUCGCUUUGUGCAUUUGGUUGCCUGCCGUGCCUCUUGGCAUACGUUGGGUGCCACUUGCCGGGUGGUUUUCGGAAACAUCCACCGUAAAGGUGCAUGAGUGGUGUUUGGUUUGUUACGGGUGGUUGGCUCUUUGCUUGCGCAACAACUGCCACCCGACUUACCUCUUCAGUUGUUUGCCUAGGCUUGUAUAGCCUAAGCAGAUUGUGGGUUUCCUGUGUUGCCUACCUACGUCACGGAAUUGUCCCGAUUGAUCAAAGUUGCUUUCGUCUUGUGUCGUCUCGAUGGCAUAAGAUGAACAAUGAAGCCGUCUCUUUGCACCGCAUCGUUAAUGCAUGCGUUGAUGUUGUGGCCCAUUGAGCAUUGCUUGGUACCUUGGAUACGGAACCUUAUGUGGGCAUGGGUCCUUGGGGAUCCUUGUUCUGCCUUUGUUUAGCGUUCGCGCUUCUCUUAGAAUGACUGCCCAGCCGGAAUGGUAAGCCAUUGUGGAUGGGCAUCGUCAAAGAGGAAUGC